This 465-nucleotide ribosomal RNA is filed under the name uncultured bacterium. Its description in RNAcentral is "partial 16S ribosomal RNA". It matches the Rfam family "Bacterial small subunit ribosomal RNA", at positions 28 to 507 of the family's 1533-position model. The record is from RNAcentral.
GACGAACGCUGGCGGCGUGCUUAACACAUGCAAGUCGAACGGAAAGGCCCUGCUUGCAGGGUACUAGAGUGGCGAACGGGUGAGUAACACGUGGGUGCUCUGCCCUGCACUUCGGGAUAAGCCUGGGAAACUGGGUCUAAUACCGGAUAGGAGCCAUUUUUAGUGUGAUGGUUGGAAAGUUUUUUCGGUGUAGGAUGAGCUCGCGGCCUAUCAGCUUGUUGGUGGGGUAAUGGCCUACCAAGGCGGCGACGGGUAGCCGGCCUGAGGGGGUGGACGGCCGCAUUGGGACUGAGAGACGGCCCAGACGCCGACGGGAGGCAGCAGGGGGGAAGAUUGCACAAUGGGCGCAAGCCUGAUGCAGCGACGCCGCGUGGUGGAUGACGGCCUUCUGGUUGUAAACACCUUUCGCUAGGGACGAAGCUUUUUGUGACGGUACCUAGAUAAGAAGCACCGGCUAACUACGUG